RNAcentral lists this ribosomal RNA (493 nucleotides) under uncultured bacterium. RNAcentral describes it as "partial 16S ribosomal RNA". It matches the Rfam family "Bacterial small subunit ribosomal RNA", at positions 29 to 507 of the family's 1533-position model. The record is from RNAcentral.
ACGAACGCUGGCGGCGUGCUUAACACAUGCAAGUCGAACGGUGAAGCGCCUUCCUUUUUGGUGGGUGUGGAUGAGUGGCGAACGGGUGAGUAACACGUGAGUAACCUGCCCCCUUCUUCUGGAUAACCGCAUGAAAGUGUGGCUAAUACGGGAUAUUCUGGGUCUGUCGCAUGAUGGGUCUGGGAAAGAUAUUGUUUCGGUGGGGGACGGGCUCGCGGCCUAUCAGCUUGUUGGUGGGGUGAUGGCCUACCAAGGCGGUGACGGGUAGCCGGCCUGAGAGGGUGGACGGUCACACUGGGACUGAGACACGGCCCAGACUCCUACGGGAGGCAGCAGUGGGGAAUAUUGCACAAUGGGCGCAAGCCUGAUGCAGCGACGCCGCGUGAGGGAUGGAGGCCUUCGGGUUGUGAACCUCUUUCGCCAGUGAAGCAGGCCUGCCUCGUUUGUGGGUGGGUUGACGGUAGCUGGAUAAGAAGCGCCGGCUAACUACGUG